RNAcentral lists this ribosomal RNA (253 nucleotides) under uncultured bacterium. RNAcentral's name for it is "partial 16S ribosomal RNA". It matches the Rfam family "Bacterial small subunit ribosomal RNA", at positions 524 to 776 of the family's 1533-position model. The record is from RNAcentral.
UACGUAGGUGGCAAGCGUUGUCCGGAUUUACUGGGCGUAAAGAGCGCGCAGGCGGUCGUUCAAGUCGCGUGUGAAAGCCCCCGGCUCAACUGGGGAGGGUCACGCGAUACUGAUCGACUCGAAGGCAGGAGAGGGAAGUGGAAUUCCCGGUGUAGUGGUGAAAUGCGUAGAUAUCGGGAGGAACACCAGUGGCGAAGGCGACUUCCUGGACCAAUACUGACGCUCAGGUGCGAAAGCGUGGGGAGCAAACAGG